Non-coding RNA from Caerostris extrusa, 74 nucleotides. The record is from the annotation of a GenBank genome assembly. NCBI's taxonomy places the organism in Eukaryota, Metazoa, Arthropoda, Arachnida, Araneae, Araneidae.
GGCCCAUUAGCUCAGUUGGUUAGAGCGUCGUGCUAAUAACGCGAAGGUCGCGGGUUCAAUCCCAUCAUGGGCCA